GGUCGUAACAAGGUAACCAGUAUUGGAUCCCCUAAAGUUUGAUCCUGGCCAAAAGGUGGACAAACGAACCCCCUUUUUUUCCCCCCCUAUUUGGUCCCCCCCCCUGACCAGCCACACUGGAACUGAGACUCUGUCCCCACUCCUACUGGAGGCAGCACUGGGGAAUAUUGCACAAUGGGCGCAAGCCUGAUGCACCCAUGCCGCGUGUGUGAAGAAGGCCUUCGGGUUGUAAAGCACUUUCAGCGGGGAGGAAGGCGGUGAGGUUAAUAACCUUAUCGAUUGACGUUACCCGCAAAAGAAGCACCGGCUAACUCCGUGCCAACAGCCGCGGUAAUACGGAGGGUGCGGCGUUAAUCGGAAUUACUGGCCGUAAAGCGCACGCAGGCGGUCUGUCAAGUCCGAUGUGAAAUCCCCGGGCUCAACCUGGGAACUGCAUUCGAAACUGGCAGGCUAGAGUCUUGUAGACGGGGGUAUAAUUCCAGGUGUAGCGGUGAAAUGCGUAAAGAUCUGGAAGAAUACUGGUGGCGAAAGCAUCCCCCUGGACAAAAACAGACACUCAGGUGCGAAAGCGUGGGGAGCAAACAAGAUUACAUACUUAGGGUAGUCUACGCCGUAAACAAUGAUAAUUAGGAGGUUAUGCUCUUGAGGCAGGGCUACCGGAGAUAACACAUUAAGUCGAACCAUUGGGGGAGGUACGGCUUAAGGUUAAACCCCGAAUGAAAUGCCCCGGGUUCAACCUGGGAAUUGCAUUCGAAACUGGCAGGCUAGUGUCUUGUAGAGGGGGGGUAGAAUUCCAGGUGUAGCGGUGAAUGUGUAGAGAUCUGGAGGAAUACCGGUGGUGAAGGCGGCCCCCUGGACAAAGACUGACGCUCAGGUGCGAUAGCGUGGGGGAGCAAACAGGAUUAGAUACCCUGGUAGUCCACGCCGUAAACGAUGUUGAUUUGGAGGUUGUGCCCUUGAGGCGUGGCUUCCGGAGCUAACGCGUUAAAUCGACCGCCUGGGGAGUACGGCCGCAAGGUUAAAACUCAAAUGAAUUGACGGGGGCCCGCUCAAGCGGUGGAGCAUGUGGUUUAAUUUGAUGCAACGCGAAGAACCUUACCUGGUCUUGACAUCCACAGAACUUUCCAGAGAUGGAUUGGUGCCUUCGGGAACUGUGAGACAGGUGCUGCAUGGCUGUCGUCAGCUCGUGUUGUGAAAUGUUGGGUUAAGUCCCGCAACGAGCGCAACCCUUAUCCUUUGUUGCCAGCGGUUCGGCCGGGAAUUCAAAGGAGACUGCCAUUGUAAAAAGGAGGAAGGUGGGGAAGACGUCAAGUUUUCAUGGCCCUUACGACCAGGAAAAAAGAAAAAAAAAAAAAAUUCUUUAAAGAGAAGUCCCUCUGGAGAAGGUGAAAAAAGGAAACCAAUUUGGGUUCUUUAAGGGUUUAACCCGGGUCCAAAAAGUGGUAAAAAGGUAACCAGAAUGGGAUCCUUUAGGGUUUGCCCCGGGCCCAGAAAGUCGUAACAAGGUAACCAGUAUGGGAUCCUUUAGAGUUUGAU
RNAcentral lists this ribosomal RNA (1536 nucleotides) under Klebsiella sp. CECRI-5/07. RNAcentral describes it as "bacterial SSU rRNA". It matches the Rfam family "Bacterial small subunit ribosomal RNA", at positions 195 to 1533 of the family's 1533-position model. The record is from RNAcentral. Lineage: Bacteria; Pseudomonadati; Pseudomonadota; Gammaproteobacteria; Enterobacterales; Enterobacteriaceae.